UGCACGCACUACUGUAAGUCUCUGGAUAAGAGCGUCUGCUAAAUGACUCAAA
Non-coding RNA from Salmo salar (Atlantic salmon), 52 nucleotides. NCBI's taxonomy places the organism in Eukaryota, Metazoa, Chordata, Actinopteri, Salmoniformes, Salmonidae. The record is from Rfam.